Molecule: ribosomal RNA, 253 nt
Filed under: uncultured bacterium
Lineage: Bacteria
Description: partial 16S ribosomal RNA
Rfam family: Bacterial small subunit ribosomal RNA
Source: RNAcentral
GACGUAGGAUGCAAGCGUUGUCCGGAUUUAUUGGGCGUAAAGGGUGCGUAGGUGGCGCCGUAAGUCGGGUGUGAAAUUUCGGAGCUUAACUCCGAAACUGCAUUCGAUACUGCGGUGCUUGAGGACUGGAGAGGAGACUGGAAUUCAUGGUGUAGCAGUGAAAUGCGUAGAGAUCAUGAGGAAGACCAGUGGCGAAGGCGGGUCUCUGGACAGUUCCUGACACUGAGGCACGAAGGCCAGGGGAGCAAACGGG